GAUGAACGCUGGCGGCGUGCCUAAUACAUGCAAGUAGAACGCUGAAGGAGGAGCUUGCUCUUUCCGGAUGAGUUGCGAACGGGUGAGUAACGCGUAGGUAACCUGCCUGGUAGCGGGGGAUAACUAUUGGAAACGAUAGCUAAUACCGCAUAACAGUAGAUAUUGCAUGAUAUUUGCUUGAAAGGGGCAAUUGCUCCACUACCAGAUGGACCUGCGUUGUAUUAGCUAGUUGGUGAGGUAACGGCUCACCAAGGCGACGAUACAUAGCCGACCUGAGAGGGGGAUCGGCCACGCUGGGACUGAGACACGGCCCAGACUCCUACGGGAGGCAGCAGUAGGGAAUCUUCGGCGAUGGACGGAAGUCUGACCGAGAAACGCCGCGUGAGUGCAGAAGGUUUUCGGAUCGUAAAGCUCUGUUGUAAGAGAAGAACGAGUGUGAGAGUGGAAAGUUCACACUGUGACGGUAUCUUACCAGAAAGGGACGGCUAACUACGUG
RNAcentral lists this ribosomal RNA (496 nucleotides) under uncultured bacterium. Its description in RNAcentral is "partial 16S ribosomal RNA". It matches the Rfam family "Bacterial small subunit ribosomal RNA", at positions 28 to 507 of the family's 1533-position model. The record is from RNAcentral.